UCCUCGCUGAAUGAGGCGCUUGUAUGAACCUACCCCAAAACACUAUAUAAAGAGCUGGAUUUCUCUCGUCACACAGAUUUGGCACGGACCGCACACAAGAAACGUUUCUCUCACAAGAGAAAGCAACAUUUAAAAGACUGCGACUUUGGGUAUCCAUGCAUGAUCCUACUUGAAGAUGGUUGGUUGGUCUCUUUGGUGAAGUGGUUCUUAACAGUUCAACAGUUCUUUGCAAAAAUUGUGAAAUGUUUAGGACCACUUGACCAGGCUGACAAAUGCGGCCAAGGCAAAUGGAUACAACACCAGAGCAAAGGGCCGCUUUUAGCCCAAAG
Molecule: long non-coding RNA, 329 nt
Organism: Hypomesus transpacificus
Lineage: Eukaryota; Metazoa; Chordata; Actinopteri; Osmeriformes; Osmeridae
Exons: 2
Source: RefSeq, a predicted model, not a curated record